Molecule: ribosomal RNA, 303 nt
Filed under: uncultured bacterium
Lineage: Bacteria
Description: partial 16S ribosomal RNA
Rfam family: Bacterial small subunit ribosomal RNA
Source: RNAcentral
AGCAGUAGCCGCGGGAAUACAGAGGGUGCGAGCGUUAAUCGGAUUUACUGGGCGUAAAGCGUGCGUAGGCGGCUUUUUAAGUCGGAUGUGAAAUCCCUGAGCUUAACUUAGGAAUUGCAUUCGAUACUGGGAAGCUAGAGUAUGGGAGAGGAUGGUAGAAUUCCAGGUGUAGCGGUGAAAUGCGUAGAGAUCUGGAGGAAUACCGAUGGCGAAGGCAGCCAUCUGGCCUAAUACUGACGCUGAGGUACGAAAGCAUGGGGAGCAAACAGGAUUAGAGACCCCGGUAGUCCCUGUCUCUUAUAA